Lotus japonicus is the source of this 4818-nucleotide long non-coding RNA. RefSeq lists it as uncharacterized. The record is from RefSeq and is a predicted model, not a curated record. The transcript is spliced from 6 exons. NCBI's taxonomy places the organism in Eukaryota, Viridiplantae, Streptophyta, Magnoliopsida, Fabales, Fabaceae.
CAUACAAGUCAACACCCUCUCAUUUUGUGACUUAGCACGCACGCCACCGCCUCCGCGACCUCGCCGCCUCGCGCCCCUGGCUUUUCCCUUCAACCAUCAUCCACCAUUGUCGCUGCCGUUUCAACCAUCAUGGCUAUUCGAAGAGUCCCUCCUGAGCUCUCACACAGUCACACUGCCACCCUCUCACUCCCUCGCUCCGCCUCUCUCCGCGGCGCAUGCAUCAUUCAUCAGCUUCCCCCCUUGAUGGCCCUGUUCUCAAUCCAUCCACUACAAUGCCUUGAGCAAGAACCAAUCCGAUUUGUCAUCAUCAAGCCAUGUGAAGAAGAAAGAAGAAAGCAACAAAAAACAUAAAGAUGAAUUGUCAUCAGAGACCAAAUUCAUUACAUCCAUAGCGUUCUGUGAUACCGACAUGGUGUCCAUUUGUUAAGUUUAAAAUAGCAGAGUUUGUCACCUCCAACAAGCUUCCCCUGGGAUUCUUGAGCAGAGCAUCUGGGAGCACAAAUGUGAACAAAAAAUCCAUGUUUGUAUCGCAUUUAUCUUCUCUCCUCUGAAAUGCAAAAAUUAUUCUUUUUUGAUUACAUAUUUUAUUAUCUCAAGACACAAUUACAGGCAACAGCCAUGACUGAUAAAAUUCAGAUAAUAAAUCAUUGAACAACUUAAGAAUAUAGAUAUUUCUACCUUUAGCAUCUCUUUGUUUUAAACUCUACUGUUUAAAUAAAACUACGAAUGAAAAGGUUCUUUGUGCCAAGUUGCUCCAAGUAGAUCUUGCUGGAUCAGGACGAGCUAGAAGAACAGAAUUUGAUGGUCUGAGUUUUAAGGCAGAACUUUGUGCGCGUGCUGUGCUGGUGGUUCUACUGAGGAAGUUCAGAGCACCAUCCAAGUGUUGUGGUAUUCUUCAUUUCAUUCAUGAGAAAGAGUAUAAAUGAGGGAAGCCGAGAUCCAAUGGAGAAAAUCUUGGGAGAUGUUAACUAUCGAUCGUGAAGCCCACAAAGUAGAUCGUCAACAACGUGAAGAGGAUUCUCAAAAGUUCGAAUUACGCUUUCAACGAUUGUAGACAAUGUUGGACAGCAUGAUGAAACUUGAUGAAGAAGAAUAACCAAAAGAAAAUGAAGUCUUACCGGGGUAAAAGGAACUUAUUCAAUGAAGGAAAAAAGAAACCGUUCAACCCAGGGAAGAGAAGAAGCAAUGGGAAAAUAGAGAGGGUGUUCUAGGUUUAAAUGAAAUGAGAGAAAGGUGUUUCCCAAUAGAAGAUACAAAGAAAGAAGGGAGUUUCAUGGGAAGUGGUCUGAUAUGGGCUUAUUGAUUAGUUGGGCUUAUCAGCCUAAUGUAAAUAUGGGUCACGCAACCCAUGGUCCGGGCGGACCGAAACUCAAUCUAUAACUAUCAGACACCACCCAAGCGGUGGGGGAUCUAACUUUUCAAGCAUUUUCUCUUUUUGUUGAUUUUGCAUUCCUUUCUUUCUAAAUCGAUUAGCCCAAGAGGACCGUUCCAUACCGGAACAUUGGCGCCCACCGUGGGGCUUCUGUAAAAUAAAUCCCCACUACCAUGAACAAGAGGCUAUGUGAUUUCUGCUUCUGAGAGAGGAGGGCGAACGAAAUUGAAAAAGAAAAUGUUCAGCCCAUCCCAAAUAGCAGUGGAAAAGAAAAAUGAAGACCUGCGAAGUUGAUAGCGUUGAUACACCAUCCAUUUUUUCAGAAACCGUCAUCAUGACUAAGCCUGUUGGCGAACUUGAUGCCACUCGCAUUCUCUCUCUUUCUCUGAUAUUUAAUAUGGUUUUUUGAUCCUCUUGGAAAGUUUUUCUUAUGGGCUUUCCAACCCUCAUUGUUCUCUUUUUAGCAGUGAUUUAUUUCGUAUUUGAUCUGUGAGUUCAUUUGUGAAAAUGAGGACCUUGAAAGGAAAUUGGAGAAGAAUUGCUUCUGGAUCACGGAUCUGCUUCGCCGCUUAAACAACAUCAGUAAACAGAUCGAGGAAAGGGAGGGCAAGCGGCGAACGGUUACCAGCUAAGGUGAAAAAGAGAAGGGCGAUCAAGAAGAAGAAACUGCACAACCGCCACUUAAGAGAUGAAGCCACCACUUCUGAGUCGAAACCGCCCACUCAAUAUCAACCGCCAACUCUCAAUUUAAAAGAUUAUUUUGUCUCAACUGCCACUAAGAAGUUGCAAGCACUCAUGCUGUCUCAACCGUCACUCUGAUCGAAAUCGUCCAUGUUCGCCCAUGAGUUACAUCAAUCCAAAUGGAUUCAGGACCACUCUAAAAACGGAUACGGAUCCUCGUUCCUUUAAAUUUUUCUUAUACCUUCUGUUCAGUUUUGAUUCUAUUAGUUUUGUACUUUGAUUACCAAUAGCUGGAAAUUAAUUUCGUUACUCUCUUCUGUGUUUGAUUCAACAUGGAAAAAUUGGAUCAGAUCAAGAAGAAAUUGUGGCGAAUCGGUUUGGCACGCAAACUGUUCGAUGGAAUUGGUGAACGAUUUCUGCACUUCAACUUUGCAUAUGAGGCAAUCUCAACACGUUUGCUGCGGCGAUGGAGUUAUGGCGAACACGCUUGCUGCGGGGACGUUGUUCCGGCGAGCAAGUUUUUGCUUUUGGCGGUUGAAGCUCGGCGAGCAAGGGUCGCCGACGUUGAAGUUCAGCGGCGAGCAAGUUGUCGCCGGUGUUCAAAUUCGGCGAGCAAAUGUCACCUAUGGUUCAGAUUGACGAGAGGAUCCUUUUGAACGUGAACCUAGUCUAUGGCGGUGGCGAACACGAUGCGGGAAACCAAGAAAAUUCAAGCAUUUUGUUUAGGAUCGCCCAAAGCAGAUUCUGGCUUUUUUGGAUUAUUUCUUUGUGUUUUGUUUCCUACUCUCCUUUGAUUGUUUUUGCUUUAAGACUGAUAUCUCCAUUUUUCUCAUGGCAUAUGGUGGACCACGCUUGAUGGAGCGAGGCAAUGGAAAAUCAGAGUUGCAUACUAACUGUUUGACAAAAUCGGUGAACGAUUUCUGCAUUUCAGUUUUGCAUAUGAUAAUAAAAGAUCAACUCAAACUCAACUCCCUGCUGCGCCUGCAAUUUCUACUGGUUUAUUCUUUCCAGACCUUAUCAGAUUGGCUCUCAUUUUCUUUCAUGAUUCUAUUUUGGUUUUAUUACCUGCUAUAUGCUUGAUAAAUCUCCUAUGUGAAUUUCAAGAAACAAAAGCCAGAUGGGUGACAAUUUAAUCCUUUGAGCCUAAUUCCUAGUGAAUCUAUUUCUGUUUAUGAUUGCCCUAUAUUGGUUUGGUGAAUGCAUAUGCCGCAAGUUUGCUUUGAAAAUAACCUGCAUAAUUAAAAUUUUGGUUCCAAUAUCUAGUCCAAGUUUGCUUCUUGAUUAAAACACUGUCUCUGCAUAAUCUGCCAGUUUGCUUGUUUGCUUUUUGCCAGUUUAUGUAGCAGAUAGUGCUCUGUUUUCUUAUCAUGUGGUUUUUGUUCAUAAGCAUGCCUGCUAUCUGGUUCAUUCCUUGCCCAUUUGAGUAGUUUAAAUAUGAACCUGCACUUAUUUGCAUCCGAACAUGAAACUUGGCAGUUAACUUCUUAAUUAGAGGUGUUUGAUUUUAUAACUAUUUCUUUCUCAUGUGAUCUGGUUAUUAUGAGGGAUAAGGCGUUGAGUUUUGAAAUGUGUAUCAAGUAUAAUCAUAUGUUUUGGUGCUGGUUUGGAACUUAGUUUACUACAACUAAUUAAUUUAUUUGAGUCCUCAAAGAAUAUGUUGAUUUAAUGAUGACCUACUUGUUUGUAUGAAUCUGUAUGUUACCUUCUAUUUCUUCACCGGCAUGUAAUAAUUCUGGUUUAAGUUUUCUUUUGUGUUGCAUGGCAUAAGUCUCUAGUUUAUUCUAUUCUAAUUAAGCCUUGCAAUCUGUCCUCAUACUGUUGCAUCUUCUUACCAUUUUUAUUUGUUUCAUGAGCUCCACUUGAAAUUUGAGGGCCAAAACUCUCCACCUUAAAGAAGGGGCAUCGGAGUUGGCAGCAACUAAUCUAGAAGCUGGUCACAUUUUGAGGAAUGCAUGAAAUCUGGAGCUGAGAUAACGCAUUGGGUGAUGAGUUGAUUAAAAACAGUCAAAGCAUAAAACAUUAUGUACAGAAAAAGAAAGGAGCAACAGGUAUGCACUCUUUUCUCUACCCCAGGCGGGAGAGUUUUUAACGAGGCAUAACUUUUUAAAAAUGUUCAAGGGCGUAACAUUUUAUUUGUUCCCAUGGCGGAAACAUAUCAACUAAGGUCUAUCAAUUGGGCGACGUCAGACAAUUGAGAAAGAGUAAGUCUCUUAAAACAAGAGCAUUUUACCACGAAUUCAUAAGCACAACCUUAAAUUGGAUUUAAGCUUGUCCAAACUAAGCACAAGUCUCCACGCGAGCAUAUAAUGAAAUCAAAUAUUGUGACUUUGAUUUCCAUAAAUAACUAAGUCAAGAAAUGAGAAAUUUUGACUAAGUUAUAUACACAAAGGCCUUAUGAUUCCAAAGUAGUUGAUUGAGAUAAAACUCUACAAAAUCUAUGAGAUUUGCUUCACAGUUAUUUUACUAUAUACAGUAAAGAAAGGCGGGAUGAUUCUGAUGAAAAGUCGUAUUCGAACUCUUUAGUUGAGCGAUAUUAAACAAUAUCGUCUUUUGGGCGAUAUUAAACAAUAUCGUUUUUUAUGAUAAAGUUCAUCUUACAAAGAAUACACUACACUGAGCAUAGAUGAAUGUGCAAGCGAUGUGAAGUAAGUGUGUUCCAUAUUAUUGAUUUACAUUUAAGUCUUUAACUGUUCCAUAUUAUUGAUUUACAUUUAAGUCUUUAACUUUUAUUUUGUUCAAGUUUCAAAUUAUUGUGCAUUAUUACU